Long non-coding RNA from Bos grunniens (domestic yak), 3946 nucleotides. The record is from Ensembl. Lineage: Eukaryota; Metazoa; Chordata; Mammalia; Artiodactyla; Bovidae.
GGUGCGGGAGCGCAAAAUGAAGGAAAUAGUCCAGCAAUUGUGUGGGUGUGCUUGAAAGGGUGUUGUUAUCCAGAGAGUGUGGGAGGGGCUCAGGGAGCUUACAGGAGCUAGAGUGUGAAUAGACAGGUGGGAUUGUGGGGAGGAAUGUGAAGUGUCACUAACAGAGUAGCUAGUGCCGAGGGGUGUGCAAAAGUGUGAGCGGACAGCGCAGGGCUCUGCCAGGGGAGAGGAGCCAUCACACCAGCUGGGAGGCAAGGCCUCUCAGGGCUGCAGCAGGACAGUCGCUGCCACCUCUGCCUGGCGCCUGUUUCCUCCCCGGUUGGCUCCAGGUCAGCGAAGGUGUCUGAGCCAGUGAGGGCACCGGUCUGCUCUGUAGGCGCGGGGUGUAUCCCAGUCCCGCAGGGAAGGGCAGACAUGUGCUCCCGCAGCUGGGGAGGGGCUCCAUGGGGACAGGGAAAGCAUAGAGGUGUCAGCCUGGAGGGUCAGGGUCAGAGCGCCCGACCGAGGCGCGUCCAGUCCCCACCCGUCCCACCACAGCCGCUCUCCGAGGCUCGGACCUCGCCGGCCAAGCCGGACCUCCAGCCGCCCCUCCUCCCGGCAGCCCCUCCUACCCCAGAGGGGCGGGCCGGGCCAGGCGCAGGAGGAAGCGGGGACGCGUCCUCUGGGAGGUGGGAGUCUGGGGAGGGCAUCUGGAGCGCAGAGCAGAGUCGCUGGGAAGGAAGGUGGGGAGAACCGGGAUGAGGGGACUCGGGCGAGGCCCGGGGCCUGGGGUUCCCUCGAGGGGCUCGGCCCGCUCGCCCGCCCUCUCCCUCGGCGGUGACCUCUCGCCCCUCCUGCGGCGGCGCCUUCCCCCUGUGUGUGGCGCCCCAGCCCCCCGGCCCGCUCCCGCCCGGUCGCUCCCUUCCCGGCGGCGGGGCGGGGCGGGGUCCGGGGCGCCGGGGCUCCAGGCUCGGCCGGGCCGCUGCCCUUUCCCGCGCCGUCCACUCCUGCCCGCCCUCCCGCGGGCCGCCGGGGCCAAGCGGCCGCCGCCGCCGCUCCCCGCCGGUGACAGACUUUGCUGCCCGGUCCGGCCGGGCUGCGCCCGCCACCGCCCCCUCACCAAGCCCACCCUCACUAAUCACUCCCAGGCCACUGCGGGCCGGCCCGGGGGCUCGCGGCCGCCGCCCGGCCCCUACCUGCCGCCGGCUCGCCCGCCACGGGCAGCAUGGUGGCUCCGGCCGCGCGGCGCGCAGCGAGGAAGCCGCGACUCCCGCGGCCCGGCCCGGACCAGCCCGGCGCGGCUCUGCCCUCCGCCCUCCUCUCGCCCGCCCUCCUUCCCGCCUCCCCUCCCGGCGGGCCGGGAGGAGAGCGGCGCGGCCCGAGGUGUCGGCCUCCCUCGCCUCCCGUCGGCCCGGCCUCAGACUCCCCGAGCCCCCUCCCUCCCGCCCGCUUCCUCUCCCGGCCCCUCCUCCUCCGCGCGCGCCGUCUCCUCCCGCAGACCCGCUCCUUCCUCGGACUCGCUCUCCCGACUUUGGCGCGGGGCUCGGUCCUCCGCGGUCCCGGGACCCCGCCUCGCCGGGCUCCAGGUGGCCGCCUCCCAGGUCUGUGGGUCGCCCGGGCUGCCCGCCGCGCUUCGGCCACCUCCCGGCCCCGCCGAGCGGACUCCAGGAAUGCCGCGUCCCGCCCGGCCCCUCUCGAGGGCGCCCGGCCCGUGCCCCCCGCCCCGGCCCGAGCCCCGCAGGCGGGGCAGCGCCCGGCUCCCCGGCCCGGCCCCGGCUCAGGACUCCCGGGGAAGGACGGGAACCGGAUCUGGCGGCUCCCGGGCGGGGCGGGGCCGGGGCCUCGGACGCCUGGCUCCUACCUGCUCGGAGGUCCAUGGGGCUGGGGCCGGGCGGGCCAGGCGCAGCUCCUCUCCCGGAGGCUGGCGGAGUGGGAGGGCGAGCCGCGGCUCCGGCGAAGCUUUAAUAAUCCCAUCCGCCAGGCCCACUCGCAGGUUUUUCGCUCGGUUUCGGAUUUUUUUUUUUUCGGUGUGGGACAUUCUGCAAACUUUUUCUGACGUGUAAAGCUGUAACCACAAAUUGUAGCGGCCCUCCCGGGGUGGGGGAGGAGGGGAGGAGGAAGGGAGGGCUUCUGGGGCUCCUCUCCUCCCACAACACUGAGGGGUGAGGUGAGGCGAGGCUGCGGUACCACCCAGGCCUCCUGGGGAGGGGCAGGAGGGCAUCCGUCCGUCGGCAAACUCCCAGGCAGGGGACUGAGCUGGCCGCCCUUUUCUUCUCCUGGGUGUCGGCCUGGGGCGCCGGCCCCAAACCCCGGCGGGGUCCUGCCUCACCCUACCUCUGCCUCAGCAUCUCUAACCUCCCCACCCUCACUCCCCACCCCACCCCGAGUAAACGCAAUGACACAUUCUCCCAAAUGCCAGCGAGCUGGCUUCAGAAGCAAGUGAUGGUGUUUUCCUGCUGCCCUUUGUCUGGGCUGACCGCCCCCUGCCUAUUGUCCCGCCGCCUGUCCCAUUUCCAAACGCCGAGGCUAAGCGAGGCGCCCGGGCUGGGGCAGGUGACUAACCAGCUCACAAUGCCCCUCCCGGUGAGGCAGGUGGAGGCACCACAGGCCCACUGCCCAGUGCGGAGGGAAGAAGAGGGCACUUGGCAGAGGUUCUUCCUCCAGUUCACAGGGUUCUGCAUUCUUCCUGCCCCUGGCCAGAGAGUGCUUAUGGGUGGGGACUCGUAAUUCAUUAAUCAGCACGAGGCACCGGACCAGUUUCAACACCAGAGGUUUCAGGGGUGACUCAGCGAGACCGCUUGGGUGCAAGGCGAUGGAGACCCAGAGUCCCCACUUGUGAAAUGCUUUCCCAUGAAGACUCUGCUUUCUCCUGCCUUUGGAGUUGGGGCUGUGGGCUUUCUGGGUGGUGGGGUAGGGGUGGCUGGGCUGUGAAGUGCCCUCUGUCCAUCCUUCCCUCGAGACUGGACAGGGACUCGCCAAGCGAGAUCCCUAGGAGACCCAUAAGCCCAGACCCUCCUGGAGGGUCUCCUCUCUCCUGCACAGAUGACUGCCAAGGAGAGUGCAGAGAAACGCUCUCAUCUGGGGGCGUGCAGACAUCCCACUCCACUUUUCUUUGGUCAUUUGGUCUCCAAGGCUUGAAUGCUCUAGAGGCCAGACCACCAAUUAAAUCACUUGGUAAUAAGUUGCUUUUGUUGUAGUCUAUUUGCCGCCCCAAGGAGGGAAAGGUGGUGGUGGGCCAGACCUGCACAGUGACUCCUCUCAAGAAAGGCAUCAGAGCCUGUGCCCACCACGCCCGCCCUGGUGCCCCAGAGAAAGAAGGGUACCCUGCCGGCCCUGCUCUCGCCCCUCGAGGCUGCGGGUCAGAGAAGGAGGCACGGUCCUGCCCAGAGCCGGGUUCCCAGGGCAGCUCUUCACUUUCCUGCACUUCCAGAACUGAGGUGGGGGUGGGGGUGGGGGUGGGGAAGAAGUUUGUUUUCAAUUACCUCACUGGAGUGGGACAGACUUUGUUGUUGGGUUUUUUCCCCCUUUCUUUUUCCUAAACGAGGAGAAAAGAGCUGGGAAAGGGACCUGGCCUGCAGUGGGGGCAGGGGCUUUUCUUGGGAGUCAGGAACAGCUCUGAUGAAACCUGCCUUGGGGGCCCUUGGAGAAGUGCUUAGGGGGCCUCCCCGCCCUCCCAGCCAGAAUGCUGGAGUUUCAAUGACAUUCUUGGCGGGCGAGCCGAGGAUCUUUGAUGCCCAUGCCAAGGUCAAGGAGGCAGAUGCCCAGUGGGUGACAGGCACUGAAACUGGCCAGGAGGUCUCCUAGCAGCUACCCUUUGGAGGGAGGGACAGGGGAGGGAGAGGGGAGCCGCUCAAGCCCUUCUCCCGGGGUUUGCAGCCUGCUCCUUGCAGAAAGUGUCUGCACAGACAAUGUGGUUUGGAUUUGGCUGAGCCCCUCAGCACCUUAUAAAGCACCUUGCUGAGUCAGG